UGUUGAGGGAGUCGGGCCGCGACUGUGGUCGUUUUUAUACCUUCCCGCGCGGACGCCGGCGCUGCCAACGGAAGGGCGGGUAGGGCGACGGAGUUUCGUCAUGUUGGCCAGGCCCAUUUGAGAUCUUUGAAGAUAUCCUCAACGUGAGGCUCUGCUGCCAUGAAGGUGAAGAUUAAGUGCUGGAACGGCGUGGCCACUUGGCUCUGGGUGGCCAACGAUGAGAACUGUGGCAUCUGCAGGAUGGCAUUUAACGGAUGCUGCCCUGACUGCAAGGUGCCCGGCGACGACUGCCCGCUGGUGUGGGGCCAGUGCUCCCACUGCUUCCACAUGCAUUGCAUCCUCAAGUGGCUGCACGCACAGCAGGUGCAGCAGCACUGCCCCAUGUGCCGCCAGGAAUGGAAGUUCAAGGAGUGAGGCCCGACCUGGCUCUCGCUGGAGGGGCAUCCUGAGACUCCUUCCUCAUGCUGGCGCCGAUGGCUGCUGGGGACAGCGCCCCUGAGCUGCAACAAGGUGGAAACAAGGGCUGGAGCUGCGUUUGUUUUGCCAUCACUAUGUUGACACUUUUAUCCAAUAAGUGAAAACUCAUUAAACUACUCAAAUCU
RNAcentral lists this long non-coding RNA (602 nucleotides) under Homo sapiens (human). Its description in RNAcentral is "long non-coding RNA NONHSAT175764.1". The record is from RNAcentral. Lineage: Eukaryota; Metazoa; Chordata; Mammalia; Primates; Hominidae.